AGUAAUGUCUGGGAAACUGCCUGAUGGAGGGGGGUAACUACUGGAAACGGUGGCUAAUACCGCAUAAUGUCUACGGACCAAAGCAGGGGCUCUUCGGACCUUGCACUAUCGGAUGAACCCAUAUGGGAUUAGCUAGUAGGUGGGGUAAAGGCUCACCUAGGCGACGAUCUCUAGCUGGUCUGAGAGGAUGAUCAGCCACACUGGGACUGAGACACGGCCCAG
This 222-nucleotide ribosomal RNA is filed under the name uncultured bacterium. Its description in RNAcentral is "partial 16S ribosomal RNA". It matches the Rfam family "Bacterial small subunit ribosomal RNA", at positions 109 to 334 of the family's 1533-position model. The record is from RNAcentral.